UCUGUAAUUACUUCUUGGCUUCAUAAAAGACUGUAAUAAUAAUAUAAAUUUAUUUGGCCGAAAACAUAAAUCUUUACAUACAUGAAUUACAAUAAUAUAAAGAACAAUUACCAAUACAUAUACAAAUAUUAAUACUUAUUCAGUUAAACUAGAAUAAUAUAAAUUAAGGCGGGCCACAAAAAUUAAAUAUCCGCCACAUAAGUUACUGAUGCAUAAAAUGCAAAAAUAAAAUAAAAUAAAUAAACUAGAAAUUUGACAAAAAUAAAAAAAAAAGGAGAGGGCGGGUGGGUAAAUUUCGAUCUGAUUACUCUAACGUAUUCUAAUGUAAUGACUAGGAAAAAGAAUUCACUUUAAAACUAAAGGUGGAGUGAACACAAUUCAAAAUCAGUUAUGCGAGAAUAUCAAAUGAUCGGCCAAAGGGGGGUAACUAGAACAUAUUUCGCAUCGUAAUUACUAGUUUUUUAGAAAAAACAAACCAAUUACUUCUUGGCUUCAUAAAAGACUGUAAUAAUAAUAUAAAUUUAUUUGGCCGAAAACAUAAAUCUUUACAUACAUGAAUUACAAUAAUAUAAAGAACAAUUACCAAUACAUAUACAAAUAUUAAUACUUAUUCAGUUAAACUAGAAUAAUAUAAAUUAAGGCGGGCCACAAAAAUUAAAUAUCCGCCAAACUAGCCCGCCAAACAAAACCAAACAAGUUACAGAUGUGGUUAAACCCAAGAGAUGUAACACUCUCUUGAAAGUUCAACUCCAAGCAGUAAGAAUAAAACACUUCUUCAGCUGCUAGAUCUACUUAGGAGAUACUCACGGAAAUCUCUCCUAAAAGUAGAGUACCUUAAAGAGACAUAUAUACACUAAUGAAUCCAAAGGAUGAAACACUCCCUUGAAAAUUCAAACACCUAAGGAAUGAAACACUCCCUUUAGGCUAGCCUAUAAAAACUAAAUAAUAAUAAUGACAUACAUGAAGACAAAAUACAAAAUACUAAAUUAUUUACAUAUGAUUAAUAGCAUGCUGGAAACACUUGCGCAAUUCAUAUUGCCCAGCUUCAUUAAGGUGAAGCCCACCAUCUUUAAAAGCAAAUAAUGACCUUACUGGAAUGUAUGAUUAUACGCAGAAACCGGACAAAGGACAGAGCCAGGGAUUUUAACCAACGGAAUCUUUAAUCUUCUUUCCCCAUGUUGAAUAGUCUUAGUCCAUUCAAAAACAACUAUAGCAAUAUCGUUAACAACAAAGACUUUACCUCUGGUCAAUUGCUUAUUCUUGUCAAAUUGAGAACAAGAAUCUGGAACUAAGUUAGAUUUCCUGGACAUCAAGAAAAAGGCAAACAAAAAAAGACACCAAUAUACACAAUCAGAACCAUUUUCUAAAUUAAAAUGUUCCACCAUCUCUAAUAAAAUAUCUGGUGAAAUGGGUAAAGCUCUACGUGGCAUAUGUGACUUGGUUCGUGACAAUCCUUUAAGCAGUAAUUUAUAAACAAAACUGUCUAAGUGUGGAAAAGAGCAAUCCAACAUUAAAUGCAUAACUUUUACACCAUUAAUAUAAUUCUUAAUAGAUUCUACAGAUUUAAAAGACCGAC
This 1576-nucleotide long non-coding RNA is filed under the name Mytilus galloprovincialis (Mediterranean mussel). The record is from RNAcentral. Lineage: Eukaryota; Metazoa; Mollusca; Bivalvia; Mytilida; Mytilidae.